RNAcentral lists this ribosomal RNA (804 nucleotides) under uncultured bacterium. RNAcentral describes it as "bacterial SSU rRNA". It matches the Rfam family "Bacterial small subunit ribosomal RNA", at positions 8 to 796 of the family's 1533-position model. The record is from RNAcentral.
AGAGUUUGAUCCUGGCUCAGGACGAACGCUGGCGGCGUGCCUAAUACAUGCAAGUCGAGCGGACUUUAAAAGCUUGCUCUUAAAGUUAGCGGCGGACGGGUGAGUAACACGUGGGCAACCUGCCUGUAAGACUGGGAUAACUUCGGGAAACCGGAGCUAAUACCGGAUAAUUCUUUCCACCACAUGGUGGAAAGCUGAAAGACGGCAUCUCGCUGUCACUUACAGAUGGGCCCGCGGCGCAUUAGCUAGUUGGUGAGGUAACGGCUCACCAAGGCAACGAUGCGUAGCCGACCUGAGAGGGUGAUCGGCCACACUGGGACUGAGACACGGCCCAGACUCCUACGGGAGGCAGCAGUAGGGAAUCUUCCGCAAUGGACGAAAGUCUGACGGAGCAACGCCGCGUGAGUGAUGAAGGUUUUCGGAUCGUAAAGCUCUGUUGUUAGGGAAGAACAAGUACAAGAGUAACUGCUUGUACCUUGACGGUACCUAACCAGAAAGCCACGGCUAACUACGUGCCAGCAGCCGCGGUAAUACGUAGGUGGCAAGCGUUGUCCGGAAUUAUUGGGCGUAAAGCGCGCGCAGGCGGUCCUUUAAGUCUGAUGUGAAAGCCCACGGCUCAACCGUGGAGGGUCAUUGGAAACUGGGGGACUUGAGUGCAGAAGAGGAGAGUGGAAUUCCACGUGUAGCGGUGAAAUGCGUAGAGAUGUGGAGGAACACCAGUGGCGAAGGCGACUCUUUGGUCUGUAACUGACGCUGAGGCGCGAAAGCGUGGGGAUCAAACAGGAUUAGAUACCCUGGUAGUCC